Thalassiosira oceanica is the source of this 46-nucleotide non-coding RNA. The record is from Rfam. NCBI's taxonomy places the organism in Eukaryota, Bacillariophyta, Thalassiosirophyceae, Thalassiosirales, Thalassiosiraceae.
CAACAGGAUUUUCUCAAAUCCACCCAACCUAUACCUCCGCUUAGCC